UACAUGUGGGGCAAGCGUUGUUCGGAAUUACUGGGCAUAAAGGGUGCGUAGGCGGUUUGUUAAGUCACUGGUGAAAGUUUUCGGCCCAACCGGAAAAUUGCCUGUGAUACUGGCGAACUUGAGUGCGUGAGGGGUGGGGGGAACGAGCAGUGUAGCGGUGAAAUGCGUAGAUAUCGGAAGGAACGCCGGUGGCGAAAGCGACGUGCUGGACACCUUCUGACGCUGAGGCGCGAAAGCCAGGGGAGCAAGCGGG
This 253-nucleotide ribosomal RNA is filed under the name uncultured bacterium. RNAcentral describes it as "partial 16S ribosomal RNA". It matches the Rfam family "Bacterial small subunit ribosomal RNA", at positions 524 to 776 of the family's 1533-position model. The record is from RNAcentral.